Molecule: ribosomal RNA, 504 nt
Filed under: uncultured bacterium
Lineage: Bacteria
Description: partial 16S ribosomal RNA
Rfam family: Bacterial small subunit ribosomal RNA
Source: RNAcentral
AUUGAACGCCGGCGGCAGGCCUAACACAUGCAAGUCGGACGGUAGCACAGAGAGCUUGCUCUCGGGUGACGAGUGGCGGACGGGUGAGUAAUGUCUGGGGAUCUGCCCGAUAGAGGGGGAUAACCACUGGAAACGGUGGCUAAUACCGCAUAACGUCGCAAGACCAAAGAGGGGGACCUUCGGGCCUCUCACUAUCGGAUGAACCCAGAUGGGAUUAGCUAGUAGGCGGGGUAACGGCCCACCUAGGCGACGAUCCCUAGCUGGUCUGGGAGGAUGACCAGCCACACUGGAACUGAGACACGGUCCAGACUCCUACGGGAGGCAGCAGUGGGGAAUAUUGCACAAUGGGCGCAAGCCUGAUGCAGCCAUGCCGCGUGUAUGAAGAAGGCCUUCGGGUUGUAAAGUACUUUCAGCGGGGAGGAAGGCGAUAAGGUUAAUAACCUUGUCGAUUGACGUUACCCGCAGAAGAAGCACCGGCUAACUCCGUGCCAGCCGCCGCCGUAA